UAGAGAUACAGUGAUUUGUGUGCAGAGUUCCAGGUCGAGAAAGCCUAUAAAUGUUCUUGCAUAAACUAGUCAUAAGCUACUGCCAUAUUUUGAGCUAACUCAUGUGACUGGAAGGGUGUAGAUAGUUAACACAGCAAUGGAAACUGGGUUCUAGCCAGAACCCAGUUCGUUUGCUGAUGAACACAUUCAGUCCUAUUCAGUCUGUAUUGAACAUCAGAAGGGAGCACCUGUUCUAUUGUUAAUGAAUUUCUGAACACCUCUUAGAAUUGUGUAAUAGGCACCAAAAAAACUCUGUUUCACAGCAUGAAUUCCCUUUAGAUCUUCACUUAAGAACUAUAUGUCGACUUCCAUGGUCCAGGAACAGCAUUUCAGCUAGAAGAUGAAGCAGUUAGAGGAUGCCCUCAACAAGAUGAAUGUCAGCUGAAACACUAAAAAGUGGAUAUAAGUAAGAAAUAAAAGACACCGUCCCUUUCCUCAAGGAACAAAGACUAACAUGAAAUAUUAUUGAUUAUUGAUAUGCUUUUUUUUUUCUUUUCAAAAACGGAAGUUAGAAUUGGUCCAUGGAAAGAAAUUACGAAGUAUUUUCAAUUUGCAGAGCUAUCAGCGCAUGGAAAAGGAAGACCCUGA
Molecule: long non-coding RNA, 627 nt
Filed under: Vulpes vulpes (red fox)
Lineage: Eukaryota; Metazoa; Chordata; Mammalia; Carnivora; Canidae
Description: lncRNA (ENSVVUG00000003189.1)
Source: RNAcentral